CGCCUAUCAGCUAGCCCCACCCCCCAACAACAACAAAUCAACAUAAAUAACCCCAAAAACACGCAAGACUACACGAACUAAACCAUUCUCCCACCCUAGUAUUGGGCGACAGAAAAGGAACUAGUGGAGCAAUAGAGAAAGUACCGCAAGGGAACGCUGAAAGAGAGAUGAAAUAGCCCAGUAAAGCUUAAAAAAACAGAGAUUUAAACUCGUACCUUUUGCAUCAUGAUUUAGCUAGCACCCUCAAGCAAAGAGCCCUUUAGUUUGAUAACCCGAAACUAGGUGAGCUACUCCAAGACAGCCUAUCAAUUAGGGCGAACCCGUCUCUGUGGCAAAAGAGUGGGAAGAGCUUCGAGUAGAGGUGACAGACCUACCGAACCUAGUAAUAGCUGGUUGCCUGGGAACUGGAUAGAAGUUCAGCCUCAUGGCUUCUCCCUUCACCUCCGUACUAACUUCCUCCGGAUACUGUAAGAAACCAUGAGAGUUAGUCAAAGGGGGUACAGCCCCUUUGAACCAAGAUACAACUUUUACAGGUGGGUAAAGAUCAUAAUAAUUAAGGAAAAAUGUUUGGGUGGGCCUAAAAGCAGCCAUCCCCAUAGAAAGCGUUAAAGCUCCGACAUACUCUUCCUCCUCUUAUCCUGAUAACUUUAUCUUAACCCCCUAACCUUACCAGGCCGCCCCAUGCCAACAUGGGCGUGACCAUGCUAAUAUGAGUAAUAAGAGAGCCCUACCCCUCUCUCCUCGCACACGUGUAAAUCGGAACGGACUACCCACCGAAACUUAACGGCCCCAAACAAAGAGGGUAUUGAAAAAUUACCUAAGCAAACCAGAAAACCAUCCAUCUCCUUACCGUUAACCCCACACUGGUGUGCCACAAAGGAAAGACUAAAAGAAAGAGAAGGAACUCGGCAAACACAUGAAGCCUCGCCUGUUUACCAAAAACAUCGCCUCUUGCAAAACUAAAGAAUAAGAGGUCCCGCCUGCCCAGUGACAACUAGUUCAACGGCCGCGGUAUUUUGACCGUGCAAAGGUAGCGUAAUCACUUGUCUUUUAAAUGAAGACCUGUAUGAAUGGCAUAACGAGGGCUUAGCUGUCUCCUCUAUCCAGUCAAUGAAAUUGAUCUCCCCGUGCAGAAGCGGGGGUAAAACCAUAAGACGAGAAGACCCUAUGGAGCUUUAGACACUAAGGCAGAUCACGUUAAACAACUCCCAAUAAGGAACAAAACUGAAUGAGUCCUGCUUAAAUGUCUUCGGUUGGGGCGACCAUGGGGAAAUAAAAAACCCCCACGUGGACUGGGAGCACCUUCCCCCUCUUCCCUCCUCCCAAAACUGAGAGCUACCGCUCUAAUUAACAGAAAUUCUGACCAAAAAUGAUCCGGCAACGCCGAUCAACGGACCAAGUUACCCUAGGGAUAACAGCGCAAUCCCCUUUUAGAGCCCAUAUCGACAAGGGGGUUUACGACCUCGAUGUUGGAUCAGGACAUCCUAAUGGUGCAGCCGCUAUUAAGGGUUCGUUUGUUCAACGAUUAAAGUCCUACGUGAUCUGAGUUCAGACCGGAGUAAUCCAGGUCAGUUUCUAUCUAUGCUAUGAUCUUUUCUAGUACGAAAGGACCGAAAAGAAGAGGCCCCUGCUUUAAGUACGCCUCACCCCCACCUAAUGAAAGCAUCUAAACUAGGCAAGAGGGCAUGCCCUUCAUGCCCAAGAAAACGGCAU
RNAcentral lists this ribosomal RNA (1713 nucleotides) under Kajikia albida (Atlantic white marlin). RNAcentral describes it as "16S ribosomal RNA". It matches the Rfam family "Bacterial large subunit ribosomal RNA". The record is from RNAcentral. Lineage: Eukaryota; Metazoa; Chordata; Actinopteri; Istiophoriformes; Istiophoridae.